Molecule: ribosomal RNA, 274 nt
Filed under: uncultured bacterium
Lineage: Bacteria
Description: partial 16S ribosomal RNA
Rfam family: Archaeal small subunit ribosomal RNA
Source: RNAcentral
AUACCAGCCCCGCGAGUGGUCGGGACGGUUAUUGGGCCUAAAGCGCCCGUAGCCGGCCUGGCACGUCCCCUCCUAAAGCCCCGGGCUUAACCCGGGGAUUGGGGGGGAUACGGCCAGGCUAGGGGGCGGGAGAGGCCGAGGGUACUCCCGGGGUAGGGGCGAAAUCCUAUAAUCCCGGGAGGACCACCAGUGGCGAAGGCGCUCGGCUGGAACGCGCCCGACGGUGAGGGGCGAAAGCCGGGGGAGCAAACCGGAUUAGAAACCCUAGUAGUCC